ACACGACUACAUUAGAUACCCGUGUAGUCCUAGCCGUAAACGAUACUCGCUAGGUGUCGGCCACGGUGCGACCGUUGUCGGUGCCGUAGGGAAGCCGUGAAGCGAGCCACCUGGGAAGUACGGCCGCAAGGCUGAAACCUAAAGGAAUUGGCGGGGGAGCACAACAACGGGUGGAGCUUGCGGUUUAAUUGGAUUCAACGCCGGAAAUCUUACCGGGACCGACAGCAACAUGAAGGCCAAGCUGAAGACUUUGCCGGAUUAGCUG
RNAcentral lists this ribosomal RNA (265 nucleotides) under uncultured archaeon. RNAcentral describes it as "partial 16S ribosomal RNA". It matches the Rfam family "Archaeal small subunit ribosomal RNA", at positions 719 to 982 of the family's 1478-position model. The record is from RNAcentral.